GUCGCCCCCAGCGCGUGCCCGCCCGGCGCCCUCUAGGGUGGAAGGCUGCGGGCGUCCUACCAGUGCCAGGACUGCCAGAGCGGGAGGAGCGCGGCGCGGGCCAGCCGGGACUGCUGGACAGCGGGGUCCAGGCUAGAGGCGAGCGAGCGGUCAGUGACGGCUGUGGAGGAGGGAGGCGCUGGGCGUCAGCGCGGGACCCGAGCCUCUGGACCACUGAGCUGGGGGGCUGGCUGAGGUCCACCUCCUAACAAAUUAUUGGAAGGAAUAUGAGAAAAGUAAGUAGGGAUUUUGAAGUAUCAGUUAAAAGACCCAAAAUUGUU
Homo sapiens (human) is the source of this 320-nucleotide long non-coding RNA. Ensembl annotates it as EP300 antisense RNA 1. Its record names the gene EP300-AS1. The record is from Ensembl. Lineage: Eukaryota; Metazoa; Chordata; Mammalia; Primates; Hominidae.